This is a long non-coding RNA of Bubalus bubalis (water buffalo), 856 nucleotides long. RefSeq lists it as uncharacterized. The record is from RefSeq and is a predicted model, not a curated record. NCBI's taxonomy places the organism in Eukaryota, Metazoa, Chordata, Mammalia, Artiodactyla, Bovidae. The transcript is spliced from 3 exons.
UGGCACAAAUGUUGAAAGACUAGCUUGCUGUAGACAUAAUGAAGCAAGCAAAAUGAAAUCUCCCAAGGAUAAAAGUGUAAUGUCCUUUACUUUUUAUCUUUUAGGUACAGGCUUGUGCCACAUCUGACUUUAUUGCUGUGGGCAAAAAAGCAGCCAGGGUGAAGAGGGGUGAAGGUCACUUCUGAUAAAGAACAAAAUUCUUGCACAUUUAUACUUCGGCACUUACCGCAAGGUGGCUUGUACUAUGGCUAAUUAUCUUCGCUUGAACAAACUGAGAGCAAGAAAAGGUCAUGUUAUUGAUUCUUACUUGAUAAAUCUCAAGUUCCUAGGAAGGUUUCCAGGGAGGCAAGUAAGGUGGUCUGGUUUUCCCAUCUCUUUAUGAAUUUCCUACAGUUGCAGUCCUUACAACUUUAUGAGAAGCAGGGCAGUGCGCAGAAGCAGAAAGAACCCAAAAUCUUGACCUGUUUUCAGUGCCAAGUUGUGGUAAAACCUUGACCAUGUCAACUAAAGGUUCCUGGACUUCAUCAUCAACAUUUGUAAAUGUAUAAUACACGUUUUGGUGUUGGAAAACCAAAUAAAAUGACCUGUAUAACAGCUGGCAGCUGUAUCACUUGCUAGCACACGUGUAGAAACUGGCAUUCAGAGUGGGUAAACAAGACAUAAAGGUUCUGUUGAUAUAUUAUUGUACGUUGAUCUCUGAUACUGGCCUAUUAGACUUAAAGGCAAUUUCCAGGUGGUUUUUCCAUUUGUACUUGGUGUCUAAUCAUUCUGAUUAAGUCAUGGCUGUGAUGGCUGCUGCUCAAACAUUUGGUUGUGCUGAUAAAUGUAUAACUAAAAUAAAAAGGAAAUGAAAGUA